CGUGGUUUAUAGGGUAUUUAAAUACUAAUAGAAAAAUAAAUUAUAGAUUCUGUCAAUACUCCGCGAAACAAAUUUAUUAAACUUAAUUAAUCUAUCAUUAGCACAUGUGUUAUUAUAGCAUAUAGUGUCUAAUCAUAGACUAAUUAGACUUAAAAAAUCAUCUCGCAAGUUAGUCUCUAGUUAUAUUUUUAGUUUCAUAAAUAGUCUAUAUUUAAUACUUCAUAUAUUUGUACAAACAUCUAAUAUGAUAGGGACUAAAGUUUAAUAGAUAUAACCAAACAGGGCCGAAAGUCCAAACUAAAAACUACAACACUCCUAAGAGCAACUCUAGUAGUAGCCCCAAAACAAGACCCCUACUUUUAAUUUGGGUGCUCUCCUUACUUUUUGGGGCUUUAUUUUUUUUUUGCUUUAACUCCAACAGCAGCACCUAAUUUAAGGCCCCAAACCUAUUCCGAUAGAGAAUGAUAGAAGGGACCCACUCAUCAUUGUUUUUUUCUUCUUCCUGUUUUUUCUUCCUUUCGACACGGACACAAUUAGAGGAUUGAUCCGACGACCGUAUGAUGUCGUGCACGUGCAAGAGAAGAGAGAGGGGGAGCGCGCGCUGGGGCUAGAACACGUGAUGGAGGAUGGGGCUGUCCUGUUGGGCCAACCAGAAUGGGGUCUGGGAGAGGUAUAUGGCAGCCCAUCCAAAUAUAGGGUCUGGAGUAGGGGCCUACUAGAGUAAUGUUUUUAGCCUGGACAAUCAUAUUUAGCUAUUGGGAUUUAAGUAGGGGUCUUGCUGGAGUUGCUCUAAGCACUUCAGUUUCUAGGUCAUCCCUCCACUCGCUGGUGCUUGCAAUGCACUUGCUAUCCGCAAGAUCUUUCUUUUUUUUUUUCUUUUUUUGCAAAUUACAGUACAAUGAAGACACCUAUAACGUACACAUGCUCACCUCUAAGAGUGCACGCGCGCAAAUCCUACCCCUAUAAACACAUUCAAAAGAACUGAGCCGACAGAUCUCGCUCCACAGUCACCUCACUGUUAACGGGGACGUUGUCUAUCACUGAAAGCAUAAUGUUAUUAAAUCCUAAAAUAAAUCUAGAAAAAUAUGAAUACCCGAAUCAAGUUGAGCACUUAGGUGGGUAGGCACCACAAGACACCAACCAACUGAUCUAGAUUAUGUUUUGAAAUUUGUAUAUUAUAUUAUAUUAUAUAAUGGACGUGAUAUAUUUUUGCGAGGCAUACUUUGGUUUCAAAAUCCUUAGAUCCGCCACUCUAAUAAAUAUUUGCAAUGCUUUGAAAUUUGGUUGUCUGCAAGUUGUUUUUAAUAGAGGUAAGCGAGGUGGGUAUAAUUAAAUUUUGUAUGCUUCGUCAGCUUGUACACUCCUACCUACUUUGAGCACUGUAGAAAUGUAUUGAAUAUAAUGGGCCAUUAGCCCAUAUUUAUAUUUGAUGAUUAAUUCAAGUGCCCAUAAUUAAUGCUAUAAUGAAAAUGGUUUAGUACCAUAUUGAUGAUUGACCGUGUGUUAACUCAACUUAAAUAGGUGGCCUUUGUUAGUCCCUAUGGAGAAGUUGAGGGAGGAUGAAGGGGUGCCACACGCGCGCGCCGCCGCCGUCGAGCCGAGCCGUCUUGUCUUGACGAGCGAGCGUGACUUGGCACACGAGGACCAGACCAGACGUGACGUGGCGCAUGCGUGGUGAAUAAGGAAAGAGAGGAAAAACAGGAUCUGACCGUUGUGUAAUUAAUUUCAAUUAAUUGCUAAUUGAUUGACUCGGUUUAUGGCAAUUAAAAGAGAUUAAUGGUUAUCAUUCAAAUGUUUCCUCCUGAGGCCUAUAUAUACCUUACGCACCCACUCCUUCCAUACAUGCGAGAACACAUCCUGUCGAGUUGCUCUCUGUCCAUUCCCGUCCCGAACCUCUGCGCGCACAGAGAUCGGGAGAGCAGGCCUCCGGAACCCGACGCCUUGCAUCGAGACACCUGCUCGGGUGUUGCGGGCAAUCAGGUUUUUGGGUAGCGUCUUCCGCGACUGCUCACCGGCGAGAUCGUCUUCUUCCACUCCGGCGAGUCUUCUUCCUGGUGGACGUUCGCACGGAUCGAGAUCGACUACUUCGUCUUCUUCCUGGUGGACGUUCGCGGGACUGCACUGCGAACAUCUUCCUGCACCGACUGUGGUCCGCUACUUCGAGCAACGCACUAUGUCGACUAGUGCGAAUGGAGCCGCCGGUGCCUUCGGCACUGGUCCCUCCUCUGGGUACAAUCUUAAAUGAUUGUUUUUCUUUUUCAGUAUGUUUGCUGUUGUUGCAGUAGUAUUUGCAAUGUUUAUCUCUAAUCUGAGUAGUGAUAAAAUUGCACACGUGCACAUGUAUGCCACCACAAUAUUAUUGGUAAUUUUCUGGAUUAAAUCAAACAUUAAAAUGUCUAAAUUUCUAACAAUCCAAAAACCUGAUAUUAGGCAUUUUUCUGUCAGUGGUUUUGCUGCUACGUUAAAACCGGAUCUGUUUGAUGGCUCAAAUUAUAAGCGGUGGCGCGCGAGAAUGAUAUUAUGGUUGACUGCUAUGAGUUGCUAUGACGUCGCGAAGGGGAAGCCGGAACAGUUUACUCCUGAGGAGGAGAAAACGUUCUUGGCUGCUGAUAACCUCUUCAGAGGCGCCGUCAUAAGUGCGCUCGAUAAAAAGUAUGUCGACAAUUAUAUUAUUUGCACCACUGCUAAGGAAUUAUGGGAUGCGCUUGAGGCCAAGUUCGGGGUUUCUGAUGCUGGUAGCGAGCUGUACCUCAUGGAACAAUUGUUUGAUUACAAGAUGGUUGAUAGCCGUUCUGUGAUUGAACAAGCACAUGAGAUACAGGCACUAGCUAAGGAACUAGAACAAUUCCCUUGUGUGUUGCCUGAAAAGUUUGUGGCCGGCGGUAUAAUCGCUAAGCUGCCACCUUCUUGGAAGGAUUUUGCUACUUCUCUAAAACAUCAGAGGAAAGAGUUUGGUCUUGCUGAAAUCAUGGGAACUCUUGAUGUUGAGGAGAAGGCGAGAGCAAAAGAUACACAUGGGAAAGGCGUUGAGUCUUCUAGUGCCAAUGUGGUGCAGAAGAAAAAGCAAUUCGCAUUCCGUAAUAAGAAAAAGAACAAGCAAGAGAAUAAGCAAGGAGCAAACCCGAAGCCAAAACAAACUGCAACUUUUAAGAAGAAAAAGGCAGAAGGAGGCUGCUUUGUUUGCGGUAGCGAUGACCACUGGGCGAGUGGUUGUCCAGACCGCAAAUUUAAACGAGAAGAGAAAAAGUCAGUAAAUAUGGUCAUUGGCGAGGCUGAAGGAGGAACAUCUGGGUAUGGUAAUUAUUUACCUACUGUUCUUUCAGUCUGUCAUUCACCUGAGUGGUGGAUGGAUACUGGGGCUAAUGUUCAUGUGUGUGCUGACAUCUCUUUGUUUUCUUCUUAUCAGGCCGGCAACACUGGAGCCUUACUGAUGGGGAACGGAUCUCAUGCGCGUGUUCUUGGUGUUGGUACGGUCAUUCUGAAGUUCACUUCGGGAAAGACGGUGCUGAUGAAGAACGUGCAGCAUGUCCCCUCCAUCAAAAAGAAUCUAGUUAGCGGCUCACAGCUUUGUAGAGAUGGCUACAAAAUAGUCUUUGAGGCCAAUAAAGUUAUACUUUCAAAAUUUGGAACUUUUAUUGGUAAAGGUUAUGACUGCGGAGGCUUGUUCCGCUUAUCCAUGCAUGAUGUGUGUAAUAAAAUCGUGAACCAUACUCUGAUUUCGAAUGAGUCGAAUAUUUGGCAUUCGCGAUUUUGUCAUGUUAAUUAUGGUUGUUUAACGCGGCUAGCAAAUAUGAAUUUAAUCCCGAAAUUUAAUUUAGUCAAAGGUUCUAAGUGCCAUGUAUGCGUGCAAUCCAAGCAACCUCGCAAGCCUCACAAGGCUGCGGAGGCGAGGAACUUGGCACCAUUAGAAUUAAUCCAUUCCGAUCUAUGCGAGAUGAAUGGUGAGUUGACUAAAGGUGGUAAACGUUACUUCAUCACUUUUAUAGACGAUUGUACUAGAUUUUGUCAUGUGUACUUGCUUAAAACAAAGGAUGAAGCAUUACAAUAUUUUAAAGCCUAUAAAGCUGAAGUAGAAAAUCAACUUGAGAGGAAAAUUAAAUGCUUAAGGUCCGAUCGUGGUGGAGAAUAUUUUUCAAGUGAUUUUUUCUUACUUCUGCGUAGAACAUGGAAUUAUUCAUGAGAGGACACCGCCAUACUCACCACAGUCCAAUGGGAUUGCCGAAAGAAAGAACCGUACUCUAACUGAGAUGGUUAACGCCAUGUUAGAGACUUCGGGUCUAUCUAAGGAAUGGUGGGGUGAGGCGAUACUGACAGCGAGUCAUGUCCUGAAUAGAGUUCCUACAAAGAAUAAAGAAAUCACACCAUUUGAGAAAUGGGAAAAGAAAAGAGUAAAUGUCUCCUAUUUGCGUACUUGGGGUUGUUUGGCUAAAGUGAAUGUGCCAAUAAACAAGAAACGUAAACUCGGACCUAAGACAGUUGACUGUAUUUUCCUUGGUUAUGCUACUCACAGCAUAGGGUAUAGGUUCUUAAUAAUAAACUCUGGAGUACCAGAUAUGCAUGUUGGUACUAUAAUGGAAUCUAGAGAUGCAACAUUCUUUGAAAGUGAGUUUCCUAUGAAAAGUACACCUAAUAUUUCUAGUCAUGAGUCUAUAAACUCCCAUGAGCAAUUUAUUCUGAUAGAACAAUCUGAGGAACCCCAUGUUCACUAUCCUGAGGAGGAUGAUAAUGUAGUCACUCAAACGAGCAAAAGACAAAGAAAAGUGAAGUCUUUUGGAGAUGACUAUAUUGUGUACCUCGUGGAUGAUACCCCAACAACCAUUAAAGAGGCAUUUUCCUCUCCUGAUGCUGACUUGUGGAAGGAAGCAAUAAGGAAUGAGAUGGAUUCUAUAAUGUCUAAUCGAACUUGGGAAGUGGUUGAACGACCUUAUGGGUGCAAACCUAUAGGGUGCAAAUGGGUGUUUAAGAAAAAGCUUAGGCCUGAUGGUACAAUUGAGAGGUACAAGGCUAGGCUUGUGGCUAAGGGUUAUACCCAAAGAGAAGGGGAAGAUUUCUUUGAAACUUAUUCACCUGUUGCCCGUUUGACCACAAUUCGAGUGUUAUUGUCUUUGGCUGCCUCUCAUGGUCUUCUCAUUCAUCAGAUGGAUGUGAAGACAGCUUUCCUAAAUGGAGAGUUAGACGAAGAGAUCUAUAUGGAUCAGCCUGAUGGAUUUGUAACAAGUGGUCAAAAGGGCAAGGUGUGUAAGUUAUUAAAAUCCCUUUAUGGCCUAAAACAAGCUCCAAAACAAUGGCAUGAGAAGUUUGACAGAACCUUAACUUCUGCUGGCUUUGCUGUUAAUGAAGCUGACAGAUGUGUGUACUAUCGGUUUGGUGGGGGUGAAGGUGUGAUCCUUUGUCUGUACGUGGAUGACAUACUGAUCUUUGGGAUAAGCCUUGUUGUGAUCAAGGAAGUUAAAGACUUUUUGUCUAACAACUUUGAGAUGAAAGAUUUGGGAGAAGCUGAUGUUAUUCUAAACAUUAAGCUUUCAAGAGAAGGCAAUGGUGGGACAACUCUUGUGAAGUCCCACUAUGUGGAAAAGAUUUUAAGUCGCUUUGGGUACAGUGACUGUCAAUCUGCUCCUACGCCUUAUGAUCCUAGUGUGCUAUUGAGGAAAAAUCGAAGAAUAGCAAGGGAUCAACUAAGAUUCUCCCAAAUUAUAGGCUCAUUGAUGUACCUUGCUAGUGCCACGAGGCCUGAUAUCUCGUUUGCAGUGAGCAAACUUAGCCGGUUUGUGUCAAAUCUCGGAGAUAUUCAUUGGCAAGCUCUUGAGAGAGUGAUGCGCUAUUUGAAAGGUACUGUGAGCUAUGGCAUUCACUAUACCGGAUACCCGAAGGUAUUAGAGGGUUAUUGUGACGCAAACUGGAUAUCUGAUGCUGAUAUGUUAAAGGCCACAAGUGGAUAUGUGUUUCUGCUUGGAGGUGGCGCUGUUUCAUGGAAGUCUUGUAAGCAGACUAUCUUAACAAAGUCAACCAUGGAAGCAGAACUCAUAGCAUUAGACAUCGCCGGUGCUGAGGCCGAGUGGCUUCAUCAACUCCUGAUGGAUCUACCGGUGGUUGAAAAACCUGUGCCGGCUAUUUCCAUGAACUGUGACAAUCAAACAGUGAUCACUAAAGUCAACAGUUCUAAGGACAACAUGAAGUCUACUAGGCAUGUCAAACGACGUUUGAAGACUGUCAGAAAGUUGAGAAACUCUGGAGUUAUAGCAUUGGACUAUGUUCAUACGUCCAAGAAUCUGGCAGAUCAAUUCACAAAGGGACUAUCACAUAAUGUGAUAGAUAGUGCAUCGAGUGAGAUGGGUUUGAGACCCACGUGAGGUCUACCAUGGUGGCAACCUGUUCUAUGUGAUCGGAGAUCCCGUGAAGUAGAAUGGUGAAACAAGCCAGAAGUAGAUUGUGAGGAAAGACCCUUUACUUAACUCAUCUGAAUUGCACUUCUUUCCUAAGUCUGUAAGGAAGGCUGGUUAUAUACCUUAAUGUAUUCCAAAGCGGCUUGUGAAGCGAUAGAUGUUGUCCAACAGAACAUCUUUAAGGAAUACACCUAUAUGAGUUUGACUGCUAGUCACAGUCUAUGAGAUUUUGGGUGAUCUCUAGAUACUCAUGAAUGGGCCAGAAGUAUGACUUAUAUGCUUCAACCAGAGGGGAUGUUCAUGCAACCCGGUAUCAGUUAUGAGUGUAGAUGAAACUUAUAUCACACAAAACUUGCAAUUCAAGGCAUAGUCUAUUGUUCAAGUUGUGGCUAAGUGUAGUCUGUACUCUAGGUGGAAGUUCAACUUAACAGUCUCCACUGAAACGACUGGUAUAUGAAACGACAUGGAAACUCGAGAGCUUUUCUUAUGUGCCCUAGAAAUAGGUGGGGAUUGUUGAAUAUAAUGGGCCAUUAGCCCAUAUUUAUAUUUGAUGAUUAAUUCAAGGGCCCAUAAUUAAUGCUAUAAUGAAAAUGGUUUAGUACCAUAUUGAUGAUUGACAAUGUGUUAACUCAACUUAAAUAGGUGGCUGUUGACGGUCCUUAAGUAUCAAAUUUAAUUAUCAAAUAAAUAAAGAAAAGGAUCCAAAUAAAAUCAACAUCCAGACUUAGGGUUUUAUCUGACAGAAUUCCACGAGUUUUGGUGUUUGUCUAUUUCUGCAGGGGGUUAUCAGGAAAUAUGGAAGAAAGGCCCACACGUCGGGAUUACGUAAAGAUAUUAACGUGCCGCGCAAUUAUCUUACAUCUAGAAGACUCCAGAAGCCACGAGACCGAAGCGGAGGCGAAACGGGGCCAGAGGCAGGGCGCCCGCCCUCCUGCCCUGGGCGCCCGCCCCCUCCCUGAGUCCAAUCAGGACUCUACUUCGUGGGAGAUCUCCACCGACCUAAAGGAUGAAUCUAAACCAUACAAUCUAUGUCGGUUUGAUCCAAUGGCCCAUAUUCACUUGAAGGGACUAUAAAACCAGACCCCCUGGCCCCUGGAGGAGAGAGCCUCUCAACCCUAAUUCAUUGUUCCUCAAGGGAGAAGAAGCCUCUGAUCAAGAUUAGAGCCACCACAUCAAUUAGAUAUCUAGAUUAGCAUAGCUACAUAGGAUUAGAACUAGAAGGAGUCAAUCUUCGAUUGGUUUCCGGAUCUGUCAUGAGGAUAUUCUUGGUAAUUCUCUAAUUGUGCUUCUAAUUACUUUCUAAUUAUCUUUGUUCUUCAAUAUUAUGAAUAUGACUUUGUUCUACUUCAAUAUAUUGCUUAUGACUUUGCUCUAUUUGCUUAUAUUCAAGAUUAUAUUGUUCUUAGUUUAUCAUAGUUAUGUACUUGGCUUAGUUAGAUUCGAUCUAUAUACAUGCUUAGGAUCGUAUAGCGUUUAUCCAUCGGAUCCAUGGGUAAAUGAUAGAUAUUGUGUAGGCGUGGUGCUUAUACCGUAUUUAUCUGCGAUUGUACCCAAUAUGCCAGAUCGUGGGGUGGUUCGUGAUAGUGACAGCUUCAUUGAUUCUUAUAUAGUCCCCCUCUCGUGUAUUGGGCUGGCAGAGCAACAUUAUUACAGGGGAGUGAUUGCUAUGUUUCUCAUAUUCCUUGCUAAUAUCAUUAUGCAUGGGCGUAGUCUUGUCUCACAAUGAUUGCUAAGUAUGCUUGCACUAACUAUGAUAAUGCUAGACUAUAUAGUUGAGAAUAACUUAGGGAAUAUUCUUGUAGUUCGUUCUAAUACCAUGCUAAUGACUUUCUAGAGUAUCUAAUUGAGGUGCUUAUCAUAUUUAUUAUGUGGCUAGAUCAGAUUAAUUAUCUUUGUCACUAUUAUUAUUUCAUAUAUCUUUUAUGUGACACUUAUCCCUGUAUGAAGAGUUAGAUAUAAUGUUCUCAAUUAUACAUGCAAUGAUAGAUGCUCAAUCUCAUAUUCUAUUCUGUAAUCAAUAGUGAUGAUCGCUAAUCCCUUCCCAGUGGUAAAAAUAUAAAUAACGAUACCUGGAAUACUUCCCGGUUAAAAUGCUGCAUCGGUAUUAAUCUGUGCGCUUGCAGAUCCCAUUCAUUAUUUAUUUAGAAGAGCAAUUGCAUAUUUCAAUACCGCGUCUCUUAUAUCAUGCUGGGGAUGACAACUUGGCUUAAGUGGUGUGAGGGAUAGGUUUGGCAUUUUUGGCACCGUUACUAGAUUUAGAGAACUUAGUCUACUUUUGGUAAUGAUGUUAAGUAUACCCAACAAGCAUUUUUGGCGCCAUUGCCGGGGAAGGUUGAUUACCAAUCAGGAAUGGAAUAAAAGAUUUUGAGUCAUCAUUCGCAUCACUAAUAUGAUUGAGCUUAUCUAUUCUCUCAUACAGUUUUACCCCGAUAUUUUUCUAUUUUAUCUUAUGCAGGGGAAUGUAUGAAUAGAAGACAUCUUCCAGGAAAUUUUGUUGAUAAUCCCGAAGCAUUAUUCAAGAAGACGAGAGCAAAGCUCAAGAAGAGAUCAUCAACACUUCACGAAGAAGCUUCAUCCAAUCAAGAAGAUCACCGGAACUUGUCUUCAGAGUUCGAAGCCAUGGCGAACAAAUCGAUCCGCGAGUUCUCAGCUCCCACUACGGACAACAUCCGCACUGGACCUGCUGCAGAGAUCGACGGCAACUUUGAGCUCAAGCCUGGACUUAUCAACAUGGUGCAAUCCAACCAGUUCUGUGGGAAGGCACACGAAGAUGCUAGUGCUCAUUUACAACACUUCCUGGAGAUUUGCAACACAUUCACCAUAGCAGGAGUUUCCAAAGACGCUAUACUACUUCGCCUCUUCCCAUUCUCACUGUUAGGAAGAGCGAAGCAGUGGUUCUACGCUACAAAGGAGAAGAAUACUACGUGGGCACUCUGCUCAACAAACUUCCUGGCUAAGUUCUUUCCCAUGGGCAAGACCAAUGCUCUCCGUGGGAAGAUUACAAGUUUUCAGCAACAAAAUGAUGAAUCUGUUCCAGAAGCAUGGGAGCGCUUUCAAGACUACAUCCUAGAAUGUCCCCAUCAUGGAAUGGAGAGUUGGCUAUUGAUGCAGACAUUUUAUCAUGGGCUCAGCAACAGUGCCCGAGAGACCAUGGAUGCUGCAGCUGGAGGAGCAUUCUUAUCACUUACUAUACCACAAGCCACAGCUCUUGUGGAGAAGAUGGCGUCCAACCAAAGCUGGAAUGAAGAGAGGACCCAGACACGCAAGAGAGGUGGAGGUAUGCAUCAGCCGAAAGAGGUAGACAUGCUGUCUGCAAAGCUAGACCUGCUCAUGAAAAAGCUCGACGAUAGAGCUGGAGAUAAGAAAGAAGUUAUGCACAUCUACGACUCUCACAUGACUUGUGAGGAGUGUGGAGACACUGGACACUCAGGCAACCACUGCCCUGAGAUGCUUGAGGAUGUGAACUACAUCAACAACAACAACUACUACUACUACUACAACCGUCCUCAACAAAAUCAAGGUUGGAAUCAACAGAGACCUAACUACUCAGGUAAUUAUCAAGGUAACAAUUCUUACAACAAUAAUAAUAAUUUUCCACCUUUGAGAGAGUUAGUGUCUAAUCAAGGAAAGCUAAUGGAUAACCUAUCUAAGAAAUUGGCAUCUAAUGAUAAAAUGCUAGAAAAUAUAAAUAAAAGAAUGGAUAAUUUUUCUACUGCCAUCAAGAAUCAAAUUAGCUUUAAUAAAAUGAUUGAAUCCCAGCUAAAUGAAAUAGCUGCUGCUGUUCCUACUACUAACCCCGGUAUACCAUCACAACCGGAAGGAUUAGAAUCUGCAAAUCUUGUAGACAUGUUUGAUGCAGGUAAUUGGAGUAACCCCAUCACUGAAUUCUCUACUGACCUUCUGCCGGUCAAGAGAGGCGAUCCAGGACGCCCCGUCAUCCCGAUCUCCAUUGGCAUGGUGGACGUUCCAGAAGCACUCUGCGACUUUGGCUCUAGCGUCAACAUUAUACCCAGGGUACUCUAUGAAAAAUUCUUUACAUAUCCUUUAUUAGAGAGAACCAUGUGUUUGCAGUUUGCAGAUCAGACGAUAACUUUUCCAAAAGGAAUAGUGAAGAACCUUUGUGUCCGAGUUGGUACCUUAUAUGCCCCAGCAGACUUCGUAGUGGUAGAGACCGGAAAUGAUGAGAGAGCACCUAUCAUCCUAGGGAGGCCAUUCUUGAACACCACGGGAGCUAUCAUCUACGCCAGUGCUGCCAAGAUCAGUUUCUACGUCAAAGGGAAGAAGAAGACAUUUUUCUUCAAGAACAAGACUACACAAAUUCAAGAUCAAUCCAGACGUAAAUCAAGAAAGAGGACCAACAGGAGAAAUAGGAACAAGCAAGUGUGGACCGAGUCAGCUAAGAUGGUCACUGUAGUCCAUGGAGGCCAAGAUCAUCAACUUAAGUCACCGUUUUUGACCUGUUGGUGCAAAAGCUGGUCUGCAAACACAAAGGGCUAAUACCCGAUUCAAACGUUAAGGCGUGCCAGCCAAUUUGACCUUACUAUCGGCAAAGGUGAUAACUCGAAUACUUUAGUCCUGACAACAGCGAUGCGCCCGAAUGUCACGGCUAAGAGGUACUCACGCGGAACUUGAGAACACGCCGAGCUUAAGUCGACGAAUUCCUAAGAACUCGUAAUAAAAAGGAAAAAGUAUGACGAAGUCGUCGAAAAAAGUGGAUGCUGGAAUAUGAGUAAAAACGUGUGUUUGAUUGGUUGAUAGAUGUCUCAUUACAAGGUCUUAGGGUCUAUAUUUAUACCCGGCUCAAAGAGCUAUAGCCUGACACGAUUAGAAUUCGAAUUCCAAAUUACACGGAAUCCGUAUACAAAACGAUGUAAAUAAUUAAGGAAAUAACAAAACUAUCUCCGGUAACAAACUGAAACUCUGCCACAAACCAUCGGUGGCUUCCGAACUCUCCCUUCGUAUCAUCGGCAGACUCCCUUGCCAUAGUCAUCGGCACAGACACAUCACCGCCUGUAGACUUAGUCAUGCUCAACCUCUCCUUCAUCGGCAACCAUCCUCAUCGGCAACUUUUCCUGUAAACAAAACACUGCCGUCUUAUCCUGCCGGCCUGGACACGUGCCCAAAAACGGUGUCAACACAUGCCCCCCAAUUUCGGAGUAUGAAAUCAUCAAUGCUCUGAAAUUCCCUGCAGUAAUGAUGCCUUUUUCCGCAAUUAAUGCUCCUAAUCUGGUAACCAACAACCUCAAUCUGAACAACUCUGAUCCUAUUCUUCUGCAUAUUCCUCGAAAUCCUCAACUUCCUAAACGGGCAUUUCCUUCUCAACCGUACAUCGGCAAUAUUACCGUUACAAAAAUCUGCCGAUGAACUGAUCAGGACAUUCGUACAAACGGCUAUCUUCACUUCACUCGCCCAUCGGCAAUAUGACCGUUACAGGACGCUGCCGAUGGACCGACCAGGAGAUCCCGCACAGCAAAAUAUCUCCAGAUAAUGACCGCUUCCCGUCAAAUCACCUGCACAAUCCCUCGAUUAUCGUGCGAACAAUUACCAUAUCUACCUGAGCACCCUCGGAUUUCUCGGAUGCGGCAAGGAGAUAAGUCAGAUUUGCCCUUGCCCAUUUUGUCCUAUAAAUAGUUCCUUCUCGGGUACUCCUUCUCCAUCACAUCAUUCCACCAUCCCAACUUUACUUUCCUUGCGGCGGCGCCAUUCAAAAUCUCCAAGACCUCCGACAAAGACUCUUCCUCACCAACCCCGGAGCCCUCAGAGAUCCCCCUCGUUGCAAGAUGGCUAUUAGCUUCAUCGUCCCUGAGGUGAGUUCUUCAUUCCGUCUCCUAUACUUUUCCUCACAUCCCCGUUCAUCCGCAAUCCAUUUUACUGAAUAUUUUUCUUUUCUUUUCUUUGUGUUAUUUUUCUUUAUUUCCAAAACCACCAGGAAUUGUCCAACAAAAUUGUCAUCCCUACCGAUCAACCACACCUCCAAUGCCUCAGUCCUCUAGGGGAUCCAGAUCCAACCGAUCUUAUUAACGCAGAAACCAACAGGAUCCCUUUCAGAACCAAAAAUUUUUCUUUAGAUCUGUGGAAAGACACCUUCCGUUCUUGGCCCAGCCCUACUGUAGGGUGGAAAGACUGGUUCUUGAGGGUCAACAAUUCCAAUGAAGUCCAGUGGGGUGAGAGAAAGCUAGAUCAAUGCAUUAGAUUAUCCAUUGCCGAUAUGCACAGGAAUGAGUCACUGUUGAUAGCUGCAUCUUACUUUUGGUCAGACACCCUCAACGCUUUUGUCUUUGGCCAUGGCCCUGCUUCUCCUACUCUUGCCAAUGUAGCCAUGCUCACCGGUCUAGAUAUAUCUUCUGCCGAUAGCACCCACUUUUUUGACACUGCUCCUAGUGCCAAAGUGGAAACUCGCGCCAUCGGCGGCUGGUCAGGGUACAUUCAGAAGUAUCGUGGGACGGGGUCUGUCAGCACAAAGGAACAAACCACCUUUCUGAACAUGUGGCUGGACAAGUUUGUGUUCUGUGGUCGAUCGGCAGGACCGACUUCCGUCUAUCUAUCGGCAGCAGAGAGACUGGCUAACGGUGGCCGAUUCCGUCUCGGCCGAUACUUGCUUGGCGCUGCUUACCAUCUCCUCCAUCAGGUGGCCAAGAAACUCCUGCUCGGCCAGUCCACUGGCAACUUAGGCGGCCCCUGGUGGUUCAUCAAUGUUGACGGUCCUUAAGUAUCAAAUUUAAUUAUCAAAUAAAUAAAGAAAAGGAUCCAAAUGAAAUCAAGAUCUAGACUUAGGGUUUUAUCUGACAGAAUUCCACGAGUUUUGGUGUUUGUCUAUUUCUGCAGGGGGUUAUCAGGAAAUAUGGAAGAAAGGCCCACAUGUCGGGAUUACGUAAAGAUAUUAACGUGCUGCGCAAUUAUCUUACAUCUAGAAGAUUCCAGAAGCCACGAGACCGAAGCGGAGACGAAACGGGGCCAGAGACAGGGCGCCCGCCCUGUCCUACUGGGUGCCCGCCCUGCCCCCAAGUCCAAUCAGGACUCUGCUUUGCGGGAGAUCUCCACCGACCUAAAGGAUGAAUCUAAACCAUACAAUCUAUGUCGGUUUGAUCCAACGGCCCAUAUUCACUUGGAGGGACUAUAAAACCAGACCCCCUGGCCCCUGGAGGAGAGAGCCUCUCAACCCUAAUUCAUUGUUCCAUCAAGGGAGAAGAAGCCUCUGAUCAAGAUUAGAGCCACCACAUCAAUUAGACAUUUAGAUUAGCAUAGCUACAUAGGAUUAGAACUAGAAGGAGUCAAUCUUCGAUUGGUUUCCGGAUCUGUCAAGAGGAUUCUUAGUAAUUCUCUAAUUGUGCUUCUAAUUGCUUUCUAAUUAUCUUUGUUCUUCAAUAUUAUGAAUAUGACUUUGUUCUACUUCAAUAUAUUGCUUAUGACUUUGCUCUACUUGCUUAUAUUCAAGAUUAUAUUGUUCUUAGUUUAUCAUAGUUAUGUACUUGGCUUAGUUAGAUUCGAUAUAUACACAUGCUUAGGAUCGUAUAGCGUUUAUCUAUCGGAUCCAUGGGUAAAUGAUAGAUAUUGUGUAGGCGUGGUGCUUAUACCGUAUUUAUCUGCGAUUGUACCCAAUAUGCCAGAUCGUGGGGUGGUUCGUGAUAGUGACAGCUUCAUUGAUUCUUAUAUAGUCCCCCUCUCGUGUAUUGGGCUGGCAGAGCAACAUUAUUACAGGGGUGUGAUUGCUAUGUUUCUCAAAUUCCUUGCUAAUAUCACUAUGCAUGGGCGUAGUCUUGUCUCACAAUGAUUGCUAAGUAUGCUUGCACUAACUAUGAUAUGCUAGACUAUAUAGUUAAGAAUAACUUAGGGAAUAUUCUUGUAGUUCGUUCUAAUACCAUGCUAAUGACUUUCUAGAGUAUCUAAUUGAGGUGCUUAUCAUAUUUAUUAUGUGGCUAGAUCAGAUUAGUUAUCCUUGUCACUAUUAUUAUUUCAUAUAUCUUUUAUGUGACACUUAUCCCUGUAUGAAGAGUUAGAUAUAAUGUUCUCAAUUAUACAUGCAAUGAUAGAUGCUCAAUCUCAUAUUCUAUUCUGUAAUCAAUAGUGAUGAUCGCUAAUCCCUUUCCAGUGGUAAAAAUAUAAAUAACGAUACCUGGAAUACUUCCCGGUUAAAAUGCUGCAUCGGUAUUAAUCUGUGCGCUUGCAGAUCCCAUUCAUUAUUUAUUUAGAAGAGCAAUUGCAUAUUUCAGUACCGCGUCUCUUAUAUCAUGCUGGGGAUGACAACUUGGCUUAAGUGGUGUGAGGGAUAGGUUUGGCAUUUUUGGCACCGUUACUAGAUUUAGAGAACUUAGUCUACUUUUGGUAAUGAUGUUAAGUAUACCCAACAAGCAUUUUUGGCGCCGUUGCCGGGGAAGGUUGAUUACCAAUCAGGAAUGGAAUAAAAGAUUUUGAGUCAUCAUUCGCAUCACUAAUAUGAUUGAGCUUAUCUAUUCUCUCAUACAGUUUUACCCCGAUAUUUUUCUAUUUUAUCUUAUGCAGGGGAAUGUAUGAAUAGAAGACAUCUUCCAGGAAAUUUUGUUGAUAAUCCCGAAGCAUUAUUCAAGAAGACGAGAGCAAAGCUCAAGAAGAGAUCAUCAACACUUCACGAAGAAGCUUCAUCCAAUCAAGAAGAUCAUCGGAACUUGUCUUCAGAGUUCGAAGCCAUGGCGAACAAAUCGAUCCGCGAGUUCUCAGCUCCCACUACGGACAACAUCCGCACUGGACCUGCUGCAGAGAUCGACGGCAACUUUGAGCUCAAGCCUGGACUUAUCAACAUGGUGCAAUCCAACCAGUUCUGUGGGAAGGCACACGAAGAUGCUAGUGCUCAUUUACAACACUUCCUAGAGAUUUGCAACACAUUCACCAUAGCAGGAGUUUCCAAAGACGCUAUACUACUUCGCCUCUUCCCAUUCUCACUGUUAGGAAGAGCAAAGCAGUGGUUCUACGCUACAAAGGAGAAGAAUACUACGUGGGCACUCUGCUCAACAAACUUCCUGGCUAAGUUCUUUCCCAUGGGCAAGACCAAUGCUCUCCGUGGGAAGAUUACAAGUUUUUAGCAACAAAAUGAUGAAUCUGUUCCAGAAGCAUGGGAGCGCUUUCAAGACUACAUCCUAGAAUGUCCCCAUCAUGGAAUGGAGAGUUGGCUAUUGAUGCAGACAUUCUAUCAUGGGCUCAGCAACAGUGCCCGAGAGACCAUGGAUGCUGCAGCUGGAGGAGCAUUCUUAUCACUUACUAUACCACAAGCCACAGCUCUUGUGGAGAAGAUGGCGUCCAACCAAAGCUGGAAUGAAGAGAGGACCCAGACACGCAAGAGAGGUGGAGGUAUGCAUCAGCUGAAGGAGGUAGACAUGCUGUCUGCAAAGCUAUACCUGCUCAUGAAGAAGCUCGACGAUAGAGCUGGAGACAAGAAAGAAGUUAUGCACAUCUACGACUCUCACAUGACUUGUGAGGAGUGUGGAGACACUGGACACUCAGGCAACCACUGCCCUGAGAUGCUUGAGGAUGUGAACUACAUCAACAACAACUACUACUACUACUACAACCGUCCUCAACAAAAUCAAGGUUGGAAUCAACAGAAGCCUAACUACUCAGGUAAUUAUCAAGGUAACAAUUCUUACAACAACAAUAGUAAUUUUCCACCUUUGAGAGAGUUAGUGUCUAAUCAAGAAAAGCUAAUGGAUAACCUAUCUAAGAAAUUGGUAUCUAAUGAUAAAAUGCUAGAAAAUAUAAAUAAUAGAAUGGAUAAUUUUUCUACUGCCAUCAAGAAUCAAAUUAGCUUUAAUAAAAUGAUUGAAUCUCAGUUAAAUCAAAUAGCUGCUGCUGUUCCUACUACUAACCCCGGUAUACCAUCACAACCGGAAGGAUUAGAAUCUGCAAAUCUUGUAGACGUGUUUGAUGCAGGUAAUUGGAGUAACCCCGUCAAUGAAUUCUCUACUGACCGUCUGCCGGUCAAGAAAGGCGAUCCAGGACGCCCCGUCAUCCCGAUCUCUAUCGGCAUGGUGGACGUUCCAGAAGCACUCUACGACUUUGGCUCUAGCGUCAACAUUAUACUCAGGGUACUCUAUGAAAAAUUCUUUACAUAUCCUUUACUAGAAACAACCAUGUGUUUGCAGUUUGCAGAUCAGACGAUAACUUUUCCAAAAGGAAUAGUGAAGAACCUUUGUGUCCGAGUUGGUACCUUAUAUGCCCCAGCAGACUUUGUAGUGGUAGAGACCGGAAAUGAUGAGAGAGCACCCAUCAUCUUAGGGAGACCAUUCUUGAACACCACGGGAGCUAUCAUCUACGCCAGUGCUGCUAAGAUCAGUUUCUACGUCAAAGGGAGGAAGGAGACAUUUUUCUUCAAGAACAAGACUACACAAAUUCCAGAUCAAUCCAGACGUGAAUCAAGGAAGAGGACCAACAGGAGAAACAGGAACAAGCAAGUGUGGACCGAGUCAGCUAAGAUGGUCACUGUAGUUCAUGGAGGCCAAGAUCACCAACUUAAGUCACCGUGUUUGACCAAGAAGGACGACCCAGGAAUGCCAAGCAUUUACUGCUCCAUAAAUGGAUACAACUUCUACAAGACAUUUUGUGACACCGGAUCGGGCGUCAACAUAAUGGCCGCAGUCACCUAUCGGCGCUUGUUCGGAACCAUGCCACUAAGACCAACAUACAUUCAGCUCCAGAUGGCAGAUCAGACAUUUCGAGAAGUUAAAGGAAUAGUAUCUGAUGUCCCAGUCAAAAUAGAUGAUCAUUUAGUCUACACAGACUUUCAAGUUAUUGACAUGGGAUAAGACGAGUAUGAUCCACCCAUCAUCCUUGGAAGACCGUUCCUCAGCACCGUUAAAGCAAUUAUCUACAUUGGAACCGGAGAAGUCCAUAUGCACUUCCCCUCAUAGAAGGUACGUCGUUACUUUACUGACCCUAACUAUAUCGUUGAAGAAUCUAAGCAGGUAAGAAAAUGACGCAACCGCAACCAGAGGAGGCAGAUCAUCAAGGACGGAUGGGCAGACUAUGAAGGAGAAGUUGUAAGAUCAGAAGACGUUGAGUUUAAAUAGAAUUAUCCAGAGGAGAUUGAAGCACCAAGUCAGGUGUGGAAAAUGAAGAUAACUAUACAAGAAGAGGAGGCGCUGCCGGAAGUACCGACUACGCCACCCAACGAACCUCAGGACGAUUAAUAAAAUGGAGAGUCCCGUUCGGAGGACUUAAAAACACCGAACGCCUUGCCAAGAGGUAAACUUGGUAGUUAUCCUUUCCUUUUCAAUUAUUUAAAAUAGUUUACUUAGUUAAUCAUAUUCAUACUAUCUUAAAAAGAAAAUAAAAAUGUGAAAAAACAGUAAGCCCCAUGUGAGUAUACGAGUGGCAUAAAACCCAUAAGUACAUUCACUGUGGUGGCAUAAAAAAUAAAAUAAUUAUUUUUCUGCUCUAUAAAAACAAAAAUAUAAAAACAGGGAGUAAUAUUUAUUAAGGAGUCUCAACAUGAUAAAGGCUAGAUAUUUAUGCUAACACUUAAUCAGUUCCACAAGCUUUGUUGUCUAUUUGAGCUCCACAGAAUUUAAGAAUCAAGAAGACUGGCAGACGGAGGACAUUCUAAUCGCUGUCAGAAUGCUGCUGACUUUCAAAUACACCUCUGCCACCUGCUAGCUACAUCAAGAGAAAUUACGUCAAAAUUCAGCUUGGGGGAGAGCACCCCCAUUUACCUCGAUAAGUAUUUCUAUCUAUCUAUCUUUAUACUUAUAUUAUUUUAAAAUAUAAAUACACAUAACUAUGAAAAACCAAAUAAAGAUUUUAUGCUUAUAUAUAUAUAUAUAUCUUUUGCUUAGUGUGUUUAAUAAAUAAAUAAAGUGGCUAUGCUAAUCUGUAUCUAAAUAAAACUUAAGCAUGGAUAUGAUAAAUAGUUGCUCUGCCUAGUUUGCAAAUUUUAAGUUCUCUCUCAAGUUUAGAUAUAACUGUUAUAAUUUAAAGCUUGCUCUAGACCUAAACUUGUGAGAUGAAAAUUUGAUCUGAAAUCUAAGUUGUUAACGGAUACGAUAUGGGAAGGUUGAGCUGCUGUUUAUCUGUUCCUAGAGAUGCUAGAAUUCUGGAGAAUUUUAUCUUUGAAAAUCUUUAAAAUGUUGCAUGAUGAGUUCCUGUAUGAUGAGAGUUUAAAUUCCUACCACAGCCAUAUAUACAUGCUUGCUAGACUUUGAGCCACACAUUUACUAUUUACUGCUUAUGAGCAUUGAGUGUGGUCAAGCUGUGUAGACCCUUAGGAGCUUGUCAUGUGGUUAAAUCAAGAUUUCACUUGCACGUUCACUCACAUAUGCUACUUCUACUCCGGAAGUACCAUCCACGUAUAUCCACCCAUUCCAUCUCCAGAAUCACCCAAAAAUGUUCUACUCCUAAUACCGGGAGAGAAUAACCAAAAAUAUUUCUGUUUUUCCCUUGUGAAAUAAAUGCUCAAGUUAUCUUGUUACUACCACUUGCUAUAUUAUCUCAAGGGAUGAAUUCUCUGAAAAAAAAGAAAGAAAAAAAAAAGAUACGAGGAAAUAAAAAGGAGCAAGUGCUCGGAACCUCGAAAGAAAAGAAAGAGUGAGACGAGAGGUAAAAAUGGACAAGUGUCCGACAGUAGAAUUAGGGGUGCAAGAUACCCACCUGAGAGACAAGAAAAAGAUAGAGCAUCUCAUUCUCAUCAUAAAGUUUCAAAAGCAAGGAAGGUAUGUAUCCCCUCAAAGAGCAAAAGUAGAAUUAGACUUCCACCACCAUUGUUUCCACCAUUGUUAUCACCAUCAUCACCAUACACCAUUCAUUCGCCACACAUGCACAUCUUGAUUUGGCUUAUUGAUUUGUUUCUUUGGAUCCAUGGUUUGACUAUGCAAUAAAUGUCUUAUAAGUAUGUAUACUUUAUCUCCCACCUAUGAACUCCAGAUAUUAAAGCCUUAUUAGAGUAGGGUGAGAGAGAGAGAAGGCAAUGUCACUAUGCCUCAUACCACAAAUACUACAUAUUUUGAGAGAAGGCAUAUACCAUCACUGCCUUGGUAAGGAUCCAAAAAUACCACAAAAGAGAGACCUUAGAGAAUCAUACAAGGAAUUUCUAAGUUUUAUUUGAAAAUCUGCAAAAACUCUAGAGCUAUAGCUGAUCAAGAAUAAGAGACAUGGCACUUGGCUAGACUGUUCUAUCUUUUAACCACUCAAGACAGAAGUGACAGUUACAAGUCCCAUGGUGAAGGUAAAGUAAGUAAGUUUUAAGUCUUGACAGUUUACUCUAACUCAGAGAUGAGAUCUUAUUUAAAAGCAUGUGUACCGUCAAAUUUUUUAAAGAUAUUGCAACUACUUAUGAUCCAUAGCUGAGUCUAUCCUUGCUCAGGGACGAGCAAGAGGUAAGCUUGGGGGAGUUUGUUGACGGUCCUUAAGUAUCAAAUUUAAUUAUCAAAUAAAUAAACAAAAGGAUCCAAAUGAAAUCAAGAUCUAGACUUAGGGUUUUAUCUGACAGAAUUCCACGAGUUUUGGUGUUUGUCUAUUUCUGCAGGGGGUUAUCAGGAAAUAUGGAAGAAAGGCCCACAUGUCGGGAUUACGUAAAGAUAUUAACGUGCUGCGCAAUUAUCUUACAUCUAGAAGACUCCAGAAGCCACGAGACCGAAGCGGAGACGAAACGGGGCCAGAGACAGGGCGCCCGCCCUGUCCUACUGGGUGCCCGCCCUGCCCCCAAGUCCAAUCAGGACUCUGCUUUGCGGGAGAUCGCCACCGACCUAAAGGAUGAAUCCAAACCAUACAAUCUAUGUCGGUUUGAUCCAACGGCCCAUAUUCACUUGGAGGGACUAUAAAACCAGACCCCCUGGCCCCUGGAGGAGAGAGCCUCUGAACCCUAAUUCAUUGUUCCAUCAAGGGAGAAGAAGCCUCUGAUCAAGAUUAGAGCCACCACAUCAAUUAGACAUCUAGAUUAGCAUAGCUACAUAGGAUUAGAACUAGAAGGAGUCAAUCUUCGAUUGGUUUCCGGAUCUGUCAAGAGGAUUCUUAGUAAUUCUCUAAUUGUGCUUCUAAUUGCUUUCUAAUUAUCUUUGUUCUUCAAUAUUAUGAAUAUGACUUUGUUCUACUUCAAUAUAUUGCUUAUGACUUUGCUCUACUUGCUUAUAUUCAAGAUUAUAUUGUUCUUAGUUUAUCAUAGUUAUGUACUUGGCUUAGUUAGAUUCGAUCUAUAUACAUGCUUAGGAUCGUAUAGCAUUUAUCCAUCGGAUCCAUGGGUAAAUGAUAGAUAUUGUGUAGGCGUGGUGCUUAUACCGUAUUUAUCUGCGAUUGUACCCAAUAUGCCAGAUCGUGGGGUGGUUCGUGAUAGUGACAGCUUCAUUGAUUCUUAUAUAGUCCCCCUCUCGUGUAUUGGGCUGGCAGAGCAACAUUAUUACAGGGGUGUGAUUGCUAUGUUUCUCAUAUUCCUUGCUAAUAUCACUAUGCAUGGGCGUAGUCUUGUCUCACAAUGAUUGCUAAGUAUGUUUGCACUAACUAUGAUAUGCUAGACUAUAUAGUUAAGAAAAACUUAGGGAAUAUUCUUGUAGUUCAUUCUAAUACCAUGCUAAUGACUUUCUAGAGUAUCUAAUUGAGGUGCUUAUCAUAUUUAUUAUGUGGCUAGAUCAGAUUAGUUAUCCUUGUCACUAUUAUUAUUUCAUAUAUCUUUUAUGUGACACUUAUCCCUGUAUGAAGAGUUAGAUAUAAUGUUCUCAAUUAUACAUGCAAUGAUAGAUGCUCAAUCUCAUAUUCUAUUCUGUAAUCAAUAGUGAUGAUCGCUAAUCCCUUCCCAGUGGUAAAAAUAUAAAUAACGAUACCUGGAAUACUUCCCGGUUAAAAUGCUGCAUCGGUAUUAAUCUGUGCGCUUGCAGAUCCCAUUCAUUAUUUAUUUAGAAGAGCAAUUGCAUAUUUCAAUACCGCGUCUCUUAUAUCAUGCUGGGGAUGACAACUUGGCUUAAGUGGUGUGAGGGAUAGGUUUGGCAUUUUUGGCACCGUUACUAGAUUUAGAGAACUUAGUCUACUUUUGGUAAUGAUGUUAAGAAUACCCAACAAUUAAUAUGUGGCUUAAUCUGCAUCUGCACAAGCGCCUCAACUUUAACUUAUUUACACAGCGUUUCCCAAGAGAUAUAACUGAAAAUCAUGUGUUGGGUGAAGAAGAAUCGGCAACACGCGCUCCCCUAAACUUUGGCGAAGCCGUCAUAGUCUUGCCUGGUUCAGGGGGUAAUCCAGAUCAGAUCGGCCGAUUCUUCCAGACUUUGUAUGAGGGCUUGGCCAGAGAUGAACGACCAUGGUUUGCCUAUGAUGACCCAGACAGUAUGAUCCCUCUAGUUUUCAAUCCAUUUGAUGAAGCUCUUGACAGGGAUAAUGAGGUGAUGAUGGCAAUUGUGACUCCUAGAGCCAUACCAGUGAAUUUCUUUGGUAGCACAAAAACCUCUCCCCAGACUUAUGAAUUCUACAACCCAUCGGCAUUAGCUCGUCAAUUAGCUUUCGGCCAGCUGCCGAUUGCACUCUGUUAUGCCGAUGUGAUAAAACCCAGGGAACCCAUCACCAACUUUCUUGAGUGGAUUCGAAUAGCUCAACUACCACCGAAUGCCGAUACAGAUGCAGAUUUGUCAGAGUGGGUUCCAGCCGCUUUCAUUACUCAGGCAUACAAGCUAUGGUGGGCAGAAUGGAAGGAGCAUCUAUUCUGCAAGUCAGCCCUUUCAUAUCGCGGCAUGAUUGACCCCGAGUACAAAGUACCCGAUGAUGCUGUAAGUAUUUCAAACUGGUGUUCCGAUUUUUCAAUCUUAUUUUCAUCGGUAACUCACCUUUGUAUCCCUUUUGCAGGUUGACAACAUCCCUCCAUCGGUUAGCAGAAGUGGUAAGCCGAUUGACCUGUUUCCACCAGGCCCAAUUUCUUCAAUCGGCCACAAUGCUCCCACUCUGGCUACCAUUGUGCAUCGAGGUGUGCGCCUCAAGAAAGUCACCACCAAGAGAACUCAGACACCACAAUCGGUAGCCGCUUCCACUCUGGCACAAGCUUUCAAGGCAAUUCAUCAACCCUUUUUCAUUUAUACCGAUUACCUUUACAUCGGCUACAUUUGUAAUUAUAAACUCCUUUUUAUUGCUGCAGCAAACCGGUACGUCGGCAAAAGCCAAACGUCAAGGCGCCGAUGCCCCCCAGUCCAGCCAGCCAAAGAGGAAGGGCGCCAAGGGUACCAGGGCUGGAACAAAGCGCCAGAAAGUGGCUACUCCUCCUCCUCCUCCGGCAUCUCCUAUUCCGGUGGAAUCUUCUCCCUCCCCUCCAGAUGUAGAGAUCCAGCAAGCACCAUCUCCCCCUCAUCCACAGGAAGCACCAGAAGCAGACGAACCCUAGCAGGAAGAACCCCAAGCAGAAGGUACAUCAGCAGAAGUGGGUGGACAAACAACUGGCCCGGCAGGUCCAAUUACAUCAUCGGCAGUUCCCCCGACUCAAACAAUCAUCGUUCCUCCUCCGGGUAACAUAUUUUAAUAAUACUGUCACCGAUGAACUUAUUCUCAUUCAGCCUCAUAACUCUUCCUGUCUUCUUUCAGUUGAUGUCGUCCCAUCGGCAACUCUGGCCGAUCAACCUACGGCUCCAUCGGCAUCUUCCAGUCAAAGGCAGGAAAUAGCCUUGAAACAAGUAAGUCACCCAACCUUUAUCAGCACUACUUGCCGAUUCUCCGAAUAUGAACUAACUUUUCUCUAUUUUUCCUUCCCAGGAACAAGACUCUCCCGACAGCCUUUUCUCCUUCGCCAUCGACAUCUCUGAAGAAGAAGGUGAAGAAGCAAGCUCCUCCCAGACAGUUGGCAUCACAUCGGCAGAGAUCAGGGCCAAGCUGGAAGAACUAUCGGCCCUCCUUCAUCAGGACACAGCACAACUGGUCGAUGACUCCGACCCAGCCAAGGUUCUGUUCAGGACUCUCAGAGGCAAGAUCCCCGCCAAUGUUGAAGAAAUCCUCUUACAAGCCGCACAUUUGGAGAGUCGUCAGCUGCAGUACCAGAGGGCUUCUCGGCGUCUUGCCGAUAGAGCUGCUCAGACUCAGCUUUCUGAAGAGAUGAGGAAAGAGAAGCUCCUGACCGAUGAGAAGCACAAGAACAUCGGCAUCUUGAGAUCUUCAGGAGACACGCUGAAGCAGAAGAUAUCUGACUUAUCGGCAAAAAAGGAAUCCCUGUUGGCAGAACUCAAACAACUGGAGGACGCCCUGUCCCAAGCCCAACAGGAAGAGAGUCAACUGCCAGAGACCAUCAAGCUUCUUGAGCAUGAGCGGAACGUCCACGGUCGCAAGGCACUACAAUUGAAGAAGAAGCUGAAGCCGAUAGAAGGCUCUGCCGAUGACAAUAUCAAGGAGAUAGAAGCAGCCAACCAAAUCCGGCUACGCGCCAUAUCGGCGAUCCAGGCGCUGCUGAACACAUGAAGCUCUCGUCGGCGACACAUCUGUGUUCUCCUGCUCUUUUAGCUUUUAGUUUAGCCGAUAGGACUGUUAUCGGCAUCUUUUGAAACAUUAAGUCCUGCCCCCAAACAUUUAAAUCCAGCCGAUAGGAGUGUUAUCGGCACUUAAACUUUUAUGCAUCGACCCAUAUGCUGGGGUAGUACUUCUUUAAAUAUUUGCCAUUCAAUGCUCUGGGGAAUUCAACUCCUUCGAGAGUUUCUAGAAUAUAGGCAUUUCCAGGAGCCAAUCGACUUAUCCGAUAAGGACCUUCCCAAUUAGGAGACCACUUUCCAAACUUCGAACUUUUAGUCCCGAUCAGUAAAAUUAAUUUCCAUACCAAUUCCCCAUCGGCAAACUCCUUAGCCUUUACUUUCUUGUCAUACCAUCUAGCAACUCUCUUCUUAUUUUCUUCUAUACUCAUUAAAGCCUUUAACUGAUGUCCCGCUAGAUCAUCUAACUCAUCGGUCAUCAAAGUGGCAUAAUCAUCGGCAGCUAAUUGAUCUUGAAAAGAUAAUCGCCUAGAUCCAGCCUUAAUUUCCCAAGGUAACACUGCAUCAUGUCCAUAUACCAAUUGAUAGGGUGACACCUUGGUUGAUCCAUGACAAGCCAUCCGAUAGGACCACAACGCUUCAUUUAAUAAUAUAUGCCACCGCCUAGGAUUUUCUUCAAUCUUUCGUUUGAUAAGUUUGAUAAUUCCUUUGUUAGACGCUUCGGCCUGCCCAUUGGCUUGAGCAUAAUAAGGAGAAGAAUUCAACACUUUGAUCCCCAUAACGAUUGCAAAUUCAUCAAACUCCCCUGAUGUAAACAUAGUGCCCUGAUCGGUAGUAAUUGUUUGAGGAAUUCCAAAUCGGUAAAUGAUAUGCUCCUUCACAAAAUCAAUCAUAUUAGCCGAUGUGACUUUCUUUAAAGGAAUAGCAUCGACCCACUUAGUGAAAUAAUCAGUGGCAACUAGAAUAAACUUAUGCCCUUUGCUAGAUGGCGGAUAAAUCUGGCCAAUCAGAUCAAUAGCCCAUCCUCGGAACGGCCAAGGCUUUAUGAUAGGAUUCAUAGCCGACGCAGGUGCCCUUUGAAUAUUACCAAACUUCUGACUUCCCUGACACUCUUUGAAAUACUUAAAGCAAUCCUCAAGUAUAGUCGGCCAAUAAUAUCCAUUCCUCCUAAUCAUCCACUUCAUCUUAAAAGUCGACUGAUGUGCUCCACACACCCCUUCAUGAAUUUCUCCCAUCAAACUCCUAGCUUCAUCAUUACCUAAGCAUCGGAGAAGAAUUCCAUCAAUAGUUCGAUAGUAUAAUUCAUCUUCGAGGAGCACAUACUUGGUCGCUUGAAAUCGAACUCGUCUUUCAACCUUCUUAGAUGGAUCUUUCAAAUAAUCAAUAAUUUCUUUCCUCCAAUCAUCGGCAUCUAUUGCCGAUACUAUAUUAAUCAUAGGCUGAUAUCCUGAGGCAUGCUGAGCUAACCGAUUGGCCUCUUCAUUAUGAAAUCGGGGAACAUGCUCUAAACGGAAAUCUUUGAAUUUCUUUAACAGUUGCAUGCUCUUCUCGUAAUAGGUUAUGAGAACUUCACUUCGGCAUUCAUAGCUCCCGGCCAAUUGAUUUAUAACCAACAUAGAAUCCCCGAAGACUUCGACAGCGUCAGCACGAACUUCUCUUAACAACUCCAAUCCUUUUAUCAAAGCCUGAUACUCAGCCUGAUUAUUUGUUGAUGUAGCAACAAUCGGCAAGGAAAAUUCAUACUUCCUCCCCUUAGGGGAAACUAACACUAUGCCGAUUCCUGCCCCCCGGUCACAUGUAGAUCCAUCAAAGAAAAGCGUCCAGGGCACCAUUUCCAAGGUUUCCACUACACCGCAAUGUUGAGUCACAAAAUCGGCCAUAAUCUGCCCUUUAACUGCCUUAGCCAAUUUAUAACGCAGAUCGAAUUCUGACAGUGCCAAAAUCCAUUUACCGAUCCUGCCACUCAUAAUCGGCAUAGAUAGCAUGUACUGGACCACAUCAUCUUUGCAAACAACAGUGCAUUCGGCCGAUAACAAGUAGUGCCUUAACUUGAUACACGAAAAAUAUAAGCAUAGGCAUAGUUUUUCAAUGGCCGAAUACCUGGUCUCAGCAUCAAUCAACCUCCUACUUAAGUAAUAAAUUACACGCUCUUUCCCUUCAAAUUCUUGAACUAAAGCUGAACCGAUAACUGUCCCAUCGGUAGACAAAUACAAUCUGAAGGGCCUUCCUUGCUGAGGUGGAACUAGAACUGGAGGAUUCAUUAGAUACUUCUUGAUUUCAUCCAGAGCCAACUGCUGUUCUUUUCCCCAAAUAAAUUCUUGAUCGGCUUUUAGCUUAAGAAGAGGACUGAAAGCACGAAUUUUUCCAGACAAAUUAGAUAUAUAUCUCCUAAUAAAAUUUACCUUGUCGAUCAAGGACUGGAGCUCGGUCUUGUUGGUAGGGGCUACUAUCUUAUUGAUGGCAUCAAUAGAUCUUCGACUAAUUUCAAUCCCCCUUUGAUGCACCAUGAAACCAAAAAACUACCCUGCCGAUACACCAAAUGCACACUUAUUGGGAUUCAUCUUCAAUCCAUGCUUCCUCGUGCACUCCAAUACCCUUUGUAGAUCGGCAAGAUGUUUUGCAAAGUCCCCGGACUUGACCACCACAUCAUCAAUAUAAAUCUCUACCAAUUUGCCGAUGAACUCAUGAAAUAUAAAAUUCAUGGCCCUUUGAUAAGUGGCACCAGCGUUCUUAAGGCCAAAAGUCAUAACUAUCCACUCGAACAAUCCAACAUGACCAGGGCAUCUGAACGCAGUCUUUGGAAUAUCUUCUUCAGCCAUGAAUAUCUGAUUGUACCCUGCAUUGCCAUCCAUGAAGCUAAUAAUCCGAUGUCCAGCCGCAGCGUCGACUAACAGAUCAGCAACUGGCAUUGGAUAUCCAUCCAUCGGCGUAGCUUUAUUGAGGUUCCUAAAAUCAAUGCAGACCCGAAGCUUCCCGUUCUUCUUGUAGACCGGAACAACAUUGGAAAUCCAUUCGGCAUACCGACACUGCCGAAUAAACUUGGCUUCAAUAAGUUUGGUUAUUUCGGCCUUGAUGUCAGGAAGGAUAUUAGUAUUACAUUGGCGAGCUGGCUGCUGAUGUGGCCGAAAUCCAGACUUAAUAGGCAACCGAUGUUCAACAAUUGAUCGGUCUAAACCAGGCAUCUCGGUAUAAUCCCAAGCAAAGCAAUCUUUAUAUUCCUUUAACAAAUCGGUUAAUUGCUGCUUACACUCAGAAUUUAACUUAGAACUAAUAAAGGUAGGUCUAGGCUUAUCACCACUACCUAUAUCUACUUCUACCAAAUCAUCGGCCGAUGUGAAUCCCUGGCCUAACUUUCCAUCAUCGGCGAACCUAUCCAUUAAAAACCGUCGUCAGAACCGACUGCUUGGAUCGGUGGAAUCUCGUAAUCGGCAACCUUGAGAAAAUAUUUCUCCCAAACUUCUCCUGAAAUGCACCUGGUCCUCUCAUAGGUGUCUGCCUCGGCCGACGCAAUGACAUAAGAAGAAUCUCCCAGGACAAUCUCAAUUUUGUCACCCACCCACUGAACCAAACAUUGGUGCAUUGUAGAUGGGAUGCAACAAUUAGCAUGAAUCCAAUAUCUUCCCAAUAGCAAGUUGUAAGCACCCUUUCCACUGAUCACGAAGAAGGUUGUCGGCAAGGUUUUGCUGCCGAUAGUCAACUCUACGCAUAUUGCCCCCUUGACCGGAGACACAUUCCCUUCGAAGUCUUUGAGCAUCAUAUCGGUCUUGGUUAAAUCUUGAUCUCCUUUUCCAAGCUUCCGAUACACCGUAUAUGGCAUGAUAUUGAAAGCAGCUCCUCCAUCAAUUAAGAUCUUAGUCAUCGGCUGCCCAUCAACCCUUCCUUUGACAAACAGAGCCUUGAGAUGCUGUCUUUCAUCAUCGGCAGGUUUCUCGAAGAUAGCCGUCAUCGGAUCUAGAGCCAACUGAUCUAUUUGAUCGGAAAACUCCACCUCAUCAUCACUGGAUGGCGCAAGGAAUUCCAUUGGCAACAUAAAGACCAUGUUGACACCUGCCGAUGGACCUUCCCCUUUAGGACCUGGUUGUUGUCGAUCCUCAGGUUUUCCAGAGCUUUCGCCCUUGCUCAGCUCCUCUUGCCUUUCACGUUGCAAUCUCCUUUUCUGUGUCUUGGUCAAUCCUUCCGGACACCAUGGAGGAAGUGGCUUCUGCCUUGCUACUGGGCGUCGAUUCUCUCUUGACUCCAUCCGAUGCGUGUUAGCAUCCCUGCAAAAUAUGAACUCAUCGGGAACUCGUGCAUUAGCCAUCUCCUCGAGCUCUUCCUGGUUCCUAGGAAAAUAUUGGACACGAUCACCAAGCCUAUCGUGCACGCUGAGCCUGCCCCCCAGCCGAUCAUGAACUGACGCUCUUCCUCUGAUCGGCCCAUCAAAUCGCCGAUUGUCAUCAUGAUAACGCCGAUCGGUCCUAUCAUACCGAUCAUAACCAUUGCACUCAGGGCAGUCUCUGACAGUGGGAAGCUUAAUAUUCUCCUCCCAACAAUGGAUGAAGAACGGACAGUUCCAAUGAUCUCUAUGCCGAUUCCACUCCUGUCGGCGUCUCUCUUCCUCCCGAAGAUAAUCUUCUUGCUGGCGCCGAUACCGAUCUUCCUGUUGCUGCCAGUUCUCUCGAGACCUUCUAUGAGUUAUAACGAUGCCAGACCGAGGAGGCCUACCUGAGCUGGUUCCUUCCUGAACCAAGCCCCUACCUCUUGCAUCGGCAGUAGUAACUUGAUGCUGAGGAUCUACCGAUGCACUUCUCUCGGCUGCUUCUGACGUUAAGACCUUAGCCUUUCCCUUAGCAUCCAACAUGUUUGUUGGGAAAGGAUGUUGGUCUAUCUUCAUCGGCUUCUGAGUCUUGGAACUGUCAAACUUGAUUCUCCCAGACUCUAUAGCCGAUUGCAGCUGCUGCCUGAAAACCUUACACUCAUUGGUGUCAUGAGAAGUUGCAUUAUGCCACUUGCAAUAUUUCAUCCUCUUCAACUCCUCAGCCGAUGGGAUCACGUGAUUAGGAGACAGCUUGAUCUGACCUUCCUAAAGUAGAAAAUCAAAUAUCCUAUCGGCCUUAGCGGUGUCAAAAGCAAACUUUUCUAGUUCCUUCUGCCCAAAAGGGCAAGAUAUCGGCUUCUUGUUCUUUACCCACUCUGCCAAGCCGAUGACUGGUUCCUCAUCAGAAUCUGAGCUCGUUGGCUCAUCAACAAAUGAUACCUUCUUGUUCCAUGCUCUUUUGGGCUCGAAAGGCUUGAUGUCUUGAUCAGAAAUCCUCUGUACCAAAUGACUUAAGCUUUCAAACUCCUGAGAUGCAUAUUUGUCCCUGAUGUGCGGCAACAAACCCUGGAAAGCCAAAUCGGCUAGCUGCCGAUCGUCCAGAACCAGACUAUAGCACUUGUUCUUGACUUCCCGUAUCCUCUGUACAAAACCCUCAACCGAUUCAUCAUUGCGUUGUCUCAAUUUGACCAAAUCGGUGAUCUUCUUCUCAUGAACCCCGGAAAAGAAGUAUUUGUGGAACUGUUUCUCCAGAUCGGCCCAAGUAAUCACUGAGUUGGGAGGUAGUGAUAUGAACCAGGUGAAGGCCGAUCCAGACAAUGAUGAUGAAAAUAGACGAACCCUCAAUUCGUCCCUGUUACCGGCUUCUCCGCAUUGAAUGAUGAACCUGUUGACAUGCUCCAUGGUUGACGUGUCGUCUUGCCCAGAAAACUUAGUAAAAUCCGGCACCUUGUACCGAUGCGGAAGCGGGAUCAAAUCAUAUGCGGGAGGAUACGGUGUCCGAUAAGAGUAAGUAUUGACUUUGGGUUUUAUCCCGAAUUGGUCUCUCAUUACUUCAGCAAUCUUAUCGGCCCAGUAUGCAUCGGCAUCUUGCCGAUGGGGCUAUUGCGGAUCAGGUGCCUGCUGGUAGGCCUCCACGUGUCUGUUCGGUGCACGAUCUGCACGGAACAUUGGGUUGAUCACCUGGCCUCCAACCUGUGGACCACCAAGCUGUUGCCCGCCAAUCUGCUGUCCGACGAACUGCUGCCCGAGAUUCAUUGGCUGGUUAGGGAUCCCCUGAUUCUGAAACCCGGGAUAGAUCUGUCCUUGCUGGAACCCUGUAGCCUGGUGACUCUGUUGGGGUGUUUGUGGAAGGACUUGCUGCCCAAGCCAUCCAUUAUUAGCAUUCAUCGGCAUAGGCCCUGCCGAUGACUGGUAAUUGGGCAUCAUCAUCGAAUUGACAUACCCAGAUUGAGCCAUAGACCUCUGUUGCAUCAGCAUCGAGUCUGCCGAUGCAUUAGGCAUCUGGAACAUUGGAGCUUGAGAAUUCCCAGUAUGAGGUCUUGCAGUAGUAGUUGUAGUAUACUGGGGACUCUGGUUCAUCGGCAUAUUAGGAGGUGCCGAUGCCAUAGGAGUCUUGCCUCUCAUAUCAGUCGUCUGCGACGUACCCGGUGUUAACUCUGGAGGCAUGCCAUAACCCCACCAGUUGGGAGGAGGGGUUAACCCUGUCAUUGCCGAUGCUAACAGAUCUGUGGCAAGUUUAAUCUGCCCGUCCGAAGUCUGUGGAUUAGUUGUCAUCGGCAUAGACUGUCCAUUGGUGACUCCUAACGUACUUGGUGGAACAGGAAUCUCCAUACCCCCAGCGGCCGUGGCAGCCGAUGGAGCUGUGACCACUGGUGACUUUGGCUGGUGAUAAGUGGGGCCCACAUAAUCUGGUGGGAUUUGUCCUUCCUUGAAAGUUCUUACCACGGCAUUGAAAACCGUAUUAGACAGUACACCAGCUUGGUUGAUCAAAGCACGGUUGAUAGCGCUGUCAACCAUAUCUUGAAGUUUACCAGGAUUGGACUCAAAAGUAACCUGCCGAGGGGCCGGCAGUGCAUCCUUCUGAAUCACCUCACCGCUCCUGUUCAUGCUGAAGGACCUCAGGCAUUGCUGCUUGUAAUCCUCCAUGGCUUUAGCAAUAGCUUGCUUCUGCUCAUCCUUGAGAUUGGCUUCCGUCACGGGGAUGACGUUUUCCUGAUCAAACUCAGAAGUCGACAUGUUGAUCUUGAUCUUGAAUCUGUCCCACUGGGCGUGCCAAAAGAUGUGUUGGUGCAAAAGCUGGUCUGCAAACACAAAGGGCUAAUACCCGAUUCAAACGUUAAGGCGUGCCAGCCGAUUUGACCUUACUAUCGGCAAAGGUGAUAACUAGAAUUGAUAACUAGAAUACUUUAGUCCUGACAACAGCGAUGCGCCCGGAUGUCACGGCUAAGAGGUACUCACGCGGAACUUGAGAACACACCGAGCUUAAGUCGACGAAUUCCUAAGAACUCGUAAUAAAAAGGAAAAAGUAUGACGAAGUCGUCGAAAAAAGUAGAUGAUGAAAUAUGAGUAAAAACGUGUGUUUGAUUGGUUGAUAGAUGUCUCAUUACAAGGUCUUAGGGUCUAUAUUUAUACCCUGCUCAAAGAGCUACAGCCAGACACGAUUAGAAUUCAAAUUCCAAAUUACACAGAAUCCAUAUACAAAACGAUUUAAAUAAUUAAGAAAAUAACAAAACUAUCUCCCGUAACAAACUGAAACUCUGCCACAAACCAUCGGUGGCUUCCGAACUCUCCCUUCGUAUCAUCGGCAGACUCCCUUGCCAUAGUCAUCGGCACAGACACAUCACCGCCUGUAGACUUAGUCACGCUCAACCUCUCCUUCAUCGGCAACCAUCCUCAUCGGCAACUUUUCCUGUAAACAAAACACUGCCGUCUUAUCCUGCCGGCCUGGACACGUGCCCAAAAACGGUGUCAACAUGACCAAGAAGGACGACCCAGGAAUGCCAAGCAUUUACUGCUCCAUACAUGGAUAUAGCUUCUACAAGACAAUUUGCGACAAUGGAUCGGACGUCAACAUAAUGGACGCAGUCACCUAUCGGCUCUUGUUCGGGACCAUGCCACUAAGACCAACAUACAUUCAGCUCUAGAUGGCAGAUCAGACAUUUCGAGAAGUCAAAGGAACAGUAACUGAUGUCCCAGUCAAAAUAGACGAUCACUUUGUCUACACAGACUUUCAAGUUGUUGACAUGGGAGAAGACGAGUAUGAUCCACCCAUCAUCCUUGGAAGACCAUUCCUCAGCACCGUUAAAGCAAUUAUCUACAUUGGAACCGGAGAAGUCCAUAUGCACUUCCCCUCAGAGAAGGUACGCCGUUAUUUUAUUGACCCUGACUAUAUCGUUGAAGAAUCUAAGCAGGUCAGAAAGAGACGCAACCGCAACCAGAGGAGGCAGAUCAUCAGGGACGGAUGGGCAGACUAUGAAGGAGAAGUUGUAAGAUCAGAAGACGUAGAGUUUAAACAGAAUUAUCCAGAGGAGAUUGAAGCACCGAGUUAGGUAUGGAAAAUGAAGAUAACUAUACAAGAAGAGGAGGCGCUGCCGGAAGUACCGACUACGCCACCCAACGAACCUCAGGACGAUUAAGAAAAUGGAGAGUCCCGUUCGGAGGACUUAAAAACACCGAACGCCUUGCCAAGAGGUAAACUUGGUAGUUAUCCUUUCCCUUUCAAUUAUUAAAAAAGUUUACUUAGUUAAUCAUGUUCGUAUUAUCUUAAAAAGAAAAUAAAAAUAUAAAAAACUGUAAGCCCCAUGUGAGUAUACGAGUGGCAUAAAACCCAUAAGUACAUUCACUGUGGUGGCAUAAAAAUAAAAUAAAUAUUUUUCUGCUUUAUAAAAACAAAAAUAUAAAAACAGAGAGUAAUAUUUAUUAAGGAGUCUCAACAUGAUAAAGGCUAGAUAUUUAUGCUAACACUUAAUCAGUUCCACAAGCUUUGUUGUCUAUUUGAGCUCCACAGAAUUUAAGAAUCAAGAAGACUAGCAGACGGAGGACAUUCUAAUCGCUGUCAGAAUGCUGCCGACUUUCAAAUACACCUCUGCCACCUGCUAGCUACAUCAAGAGAAAUUACGUCAAAAUUCAGCUUGGGGGAGAGCACCCCCAUUUAUCCCGAUAAGUAUUUCUAUCUAUCUUUAUACUUAUACUAUAUUAGAAUAUAAAUACACAUAACUAUGAAAAACCAAAUAAAGAUUUUAUGCUUAUAUAUAUAUUUGUCUUUUGCUUAGUGUGUUUAAUAAAUAAAUAAAGUGGCUAUGCUAAUCUAUAUCUAAAUAAAACUCAAGCAUGGAUAUGAUGAAUAGUUGCUCUGCCUAAUUUGCACAUUUUAAGUUCUCUCUCAAGUUUAGAUAUAACUGUUAUAAUUUAAAGCUUGCUCUAGACCUAAACUUGUGGGAUGAAAACUUGAUCUGAAGUCUAAGUUGUUAACGGAUAUGAUAUGGGAAGGUUGAGCUGCUGUUUAUCUGUUCCUAGAGAUGCUAGAAUUCUGGAGAAUUUUAUUUUUGAAAAUCUUUAAAAUAUUGCAUGAUGAGUUCAUGUAUGAUGAGAGUUUAAAUUCCUACCACAGCCAUAUAUACAUGCUUGCUAGACUUUGAGCAACACAUUUACUAUUUACUGCUUAUGAGCAUUGAGUGUGGUCAAGCUGUGUAGACCCUUAGGAGCUUGUCAUGUGGUUAAAUCAAGAUUUCACUUGCACAUUCACUCAUAUAUGCUACUUCUACUCCGGAAGUACCAUCCACAUAUAUUCACCCAUUCCAUCUCCAGAAUCACCCAAAAAUAUUCUACUCCUAAUCCGGGAGAGAAUAACCAAAAAUAUUUCUGUUUUCCCCUUGUGAAAUAAAUGCUCAAGUUAUCUUGUUACUACCACUUGCUAUAUUAUCUCAAGAGAUGAGUGCUCUAAAAAAAGAGAGAGAAAAAAAGAAAAAAAAAGAGAUACGAGGAAAUAAAAAGGAGCAAGUGCUCGGAACCUCGAAAGAAAAAGAAAAAGUGAGACGAGAGGUAAAAAUAGACAAGUGUCCGACAGUAGAAUUAGGGGUACAAGAUACCCACCUGAGAGAAAAGAAAAAGAAGAGCAUCUCAUUCUCCUCAUAAAGUUUCAAAAAGCAAGGAAGGUAUGUAUCCCCUCAAAGAGCAAAAGUAGAAUUAGACUUCCACCACCAUUGUUUUCACCAUUGUUAUCACCAUUAUCACCAUACACCAUUCAUUCGCCACACAUGCACAUCUUGAUUUGGCUUAUUGAUUUGUUUCUUUGGAUCCAUGGUUUGACUAUGCAAUAAAUGUCUUGUAAGUAUGUGUACUUUAUCUCCCACCUAUGAGCUCCAGAUAUUAAAGCCUUAUUAGAGUAGAGUGAGAGAGAAGGCAAUGUCACUAUGCCUCAUACCACAAAUACUACAUAUUUUGAGAGAAGGCAUAUACCAUCACUGCCUUGGUAAGGAUCCAAAAAUACCACAAAAGAGAGACCUUAGAGAAUCAUACAAGGAAUUUCUGAGUUUUAUUUGAAAAUCUGCAAAAACUCUAGAGCUAUAGCUGAUCAAGAAUAAGAGACAUGGCACUUGGCUAGACUGUUCUAUCUUUUAACCACUCAAGACAGAAGUAACAGUUACAAGUCCCAUGGUGAAGGUAAAGUAAGUAAGUUUUAAGUCUUGACAGUUUACUCUAACUCAGAGAUGAGAUCUUAUUUAAAAGCAUGUGUACCGUCAAAUUUUUUAAAGAUAUUGCAACUACUUAUGAUCCAUAGCUGAGUCUAUCCUUGCUCAGGGACGAGCAAGAGGUAAGCUUGGGGGAGUUUGUUGACGGUCCUCAAGUAUCAAAUUUAAUUAUCAAAUAAAUAAAGAAAAGGAUCCAAAUGAAAUCAAGAUCUAGACUUAGGGUUUUAUCUGACAGAAUUCCAUGAGUUUUGGUGUUUGUCUAUUUCUGCAGGGGGUUAUCAGGAAAUAUGGAAGAAAGGCCCACACGUCGGGAUUACGUAAAGAUAUUAACGUGCCGCGCAAUUAUCUUACAUCUAGAAGACUCCAGAAGCCACGAGACCGAAGCAGAGGCGAAACGGGGCCAGAGGCAGGGCGCCCGCCCUCCUGCCCUGGGCGCCCGCCCCCUCCCUGAGUCCAAUAAGGACUCUGCUUCGUGGGAGAUCUCCACCGACCUAAAGGAUGAAUCUAAACCAUACAAUCUAUGUCGGUUUGAUCCAAUGGCCCAUAUUCACUUGAAGGGACUAUAAAACCAGACCCCCUAGCCCCUGGAGGAGAGAGCCUCUCAACCCUAAUUCAUUGUUCCUCAAGGGAGAAGAAGCCUCUGAUCAAGAUUAGAGCCACCACAUCAAUUAGAUAUCUAGAUUAGCAUAGCUACAUAGGAUUAGAACUAGAAGGAGUCAAUCUUCGAUUGGUUUCCGGAUUUGUCAUGAGGAUUCUUGGUAAUUCUCUAAUUGUGCUUCUAAUUACUUUCUAAUUAUCUUUGUUCUUCAAUAUUAUGAAUAUGACUUUGUUCUACUUCAAUAUAUUGCUUAUGACUUUGCUCUACUUGCUUAUAUUCAAGAUUAUAUUGUUCUUAGUUUAUCAUAGUUAUGUACUUGGCUUAGUUAGAUUCGAUCUAUAUACAUGCUUAGGAUCGUAUAGCGUUUAUCCAUCGGAUCCACGGGUAAAUGAUAGAUAUUGUGUAGACGUGGUGCUUAUACCGUAUUUAUCUGCGAUUGUACCCAAUAUGCCAGAUCGUGGGGUGGUUCGUGAUAGUGACAGCUUCAUUGAUUCUUAUAUAGUCCCCCUCUCGUGUAUUGGGCUGGCAGAGCAACAUUAUUACAGGGGAGUGAUUGCUAUGUUUCUCAUAUUCCUUGCUAAUAUCACUAUGCAUGGGCGUAGUCUUGUCUCACAAUGAUUGCUAAGUAUGCUUGCACUAACUAUGAUAAUGCUAGACUAUAUAGUUGAGAAUAACUUAGGGAAUAUUCUUGUAGUUCGUUCUAAUACCAUGCUAAUGACUUUCUAGAGUAUCUAAUUGAGGUGCUUAUCAUAUUUAUUAUGUGGCUAGAUCAGAUUAAUUAUCUUUGUCACUAUUAUAAUUUCAUAUAUCCUUUAUGUGACACUUAUCCCUGUAUGAAGAGUUAGAUAUAAUGUUCUCAAUUAUACAUGCAAUGAUAGAUGCUCAAUCUCAUAUUCUAUUCUGUAAUCAAUAGUGAUGAUUGCUAAUCCCUUCCCAGUGGUAAAAAUAUAAAUAACGAUACCUGGAAUACUUCCCGGUUAAAAUGCUACAUCGGUAUUAAUCUGUGCGCUUGCAGAUCCUAUUCAUUAUUUAUUUAGAAGAGCAAUUGCAUAUUUCAAUACGGCGUCUCUUAUAUCAUGCUGGGGAUGACAACUUGGCUUAAGUGGUGUGAGGGAUAGGUUUGGCAUUUUUGGCACCGUUACUAGAUUUAGAGAACUUAGUCUACUUUUGGUAAUGAUGUUAAGAAUACCCAACAGUGGCCUUUGUUAGCCCCUAUGGAGAAGUUGAGGGAGGAUGAAGGGGUGCCACACGCGCGCGCCGCCGCCGCCGUCGAGCCGAGCCGUGCCGUCUUGUCUUGUCUUGUCUUGUCUUGUCUUGACGAGCGAGCGUGACGUGGCACACGAGGACCAGACCAGACGUGACGUGGCGCAUGCGUGGUGAAUAAGGAAAGGGAGGAAAAAUAGGAUCUGACCGUUGUGUAAUUAAUGGCAAUUAAUUGCUAAUUGAUUGACUCGGUUUAUGGCAAUUAAAAGAGAUUAAUAGUCAUCAUUCAGAUGUUUCCUCCUGAGGCCUAUAUAUACCAUACGCACCCACUCCUUCCAUAC
This 36391-nucleotide long non-coding RNA is filed under the name Sorghum bicolor (sorghum). RNAcentral describes it as "long non-coding RNA (SBIC_LNC015515)". Lineage: Eukaryota; Viridiplantae; Streptophyta; Magnoliopsida; Poales; Poaceae. The record is from RNAcentral.